RNAcentral lists this ribosomal RNA (398 nucleotides) under uncultured bacterium. RNAcentral's name for it is "bacterial SSU rRNA". It matches the Rfam family "Bacterial small subunit ribosomal RNA", at positions 30 to 429 of the family's 1533-position model. The record is from RNAcentral.
AUUGAACGCUGGCGGCAUGCCUUACACAUGCAAGUCGAACGGCAGCACGGGGAGCAAUCCUGGUGGCGAGUGGCGAACGGGUGAGUAAUGUAUCGGAACGUACCUUUCAGUGGGGGAUAACGUAGCGAAAGUUACGCUAAUACCGCAUAUUCUGUGAGCAGGAAAGCAGGGGAUCGCAAGACCUUGCGCUGAUUGAGCGGCCGAUAUCAGAUUAGCUAGUUGGUGAGGUAAAGGCUCACCAAGGCGACGAUCUGUAGCGGGUCUGAGAGGAUGAUCCGCCACACUGGAACUGAGACACGGUCCAGACUCCUACGGGAGGCAGCAGUGGGGAAUUUUGGACAAUGGGCGCAAGCCUGAUCCAGCCAUGCCGCGUGAGUGAAGAAGGCCUCGGUUGUAAG